Erinaceus europaeus (western European hedgehog) is the source of this 311-nucleotide unclassified non-coding RNA. Its record names the gene 7SK. It matches the Rfam family "7SK RNA". Rfam says of the family: 7SK was discovered as an abundant small nuclear RNA in the mid-70s but a possible function has only recently been suggested. Lineage: Eukaryota; Metazoa; Chordata; Mammalia; Eulipotyphla; Erinaceidae. The record is from Ensembl.
AAAUGUGAGGGCAAUAUGGCACCCCAUUGAUCACCAGGGUUGAUUCGGCUGAUCUAGCUGGCUAGGCGGGUGUCCUCUUCCUCCCUCACCACUCCAUGUGCGCCCCUCCCAAAGCUGUGUGCUUGGUCAAAGAGGAUGGCCUUCCCAAAUAGAGGCAUACUGGUCUUUGGCUGAGGUUAUGCGGUUAUACAAGUAGCUGAACUCCCCUGCUAGAACCUUCAAACAAGCUCUCAAGAAUAGGGAAGCUUUCAAUGGAGAGGACAGGAUACAGAUUCUGUUGCUGGGCAUUGUAUGAAAUUGUACCUCUCUUA